CAACAUAUAGCUUAAACAAAGCAUCUCGCUUACACCGAGAGUAUAUCUGUGAAACCCAGAUUAUUUUGA
This 69-nucleotide transfer RNA is filed under the name Dendropsophus jimi. RNAcentral describes it as "tRNA-Val". It matches the Rfam family "tRNA". From Rfam's summary of the family: Transfer RNA (tRNA) molecules are approximately 80 nucleotides in length. Their secondary structure includes four short double-helical elements and three loops (D, anti-codon, and T loops). Lineage: Eukaryota; Metazoa; Chordata; Amphibia; Anura; Hylidae. RNAcentral also lists the same sequence under 1 other name. The record is from RNAcentral.